UGGAAGCCGAACAUGAUCAUUUUUCUGAAGCUCACUCACACGUAGCUCUUGAAUAUUCUGAAACAAAAACAUAGCUCUUCACUAAUCCCCUUUUCAUGUCCUUCCGUCCCCUCGCUCCACCAAAAUUGCUUCCACUCGAGCUCAAGAUUCCCAACAACACCUCAAUUCCCCUGUUGAUUCCCUGCCGUGGCCUUGCUCGUCCUCACCUGCACGCACCGCUGCAGCUCGGCUCACUGGUGCGGCCACGGGGCGAGCCUAGUUUCGCUCGCUGUACGCCUCCUUGAUCUCUCAGGCCGGUCAACAGCGACGGAGGGGUAGUAGGGCUCGAUGAGAAGCUGCGCCAUGGAGGAUGCGAGCUUGCCGAUCUUGAAUGUGUCGUCGUCGUUAGCGUCCUUGGAGGCGAUGUGGGCGUGGAUCUCAUCUCCCGGAGCCAGCUUGGAUCCACAUCGAUUGUGAGGAUGCUGGCGGCUUUGUUUUCCCUCGCAUCGUGGUUGUCCCCGAGCAAGGCAGCCCGGUAGGUCCUCUUCAUCCUCGACAGUGGCAGCCUGAAUUCGGCGACUCUUUCUUCCACCUAGAGUCUAUUGGUACAGCAAAAUAUAUGCAAGGGCAAUGAACUGCAAUUUAGGCUUUUCACACACGAGCAAGUGUUUCGACAGGUUAGUAUGUUGUUGUAUAUGAUUCUCAUAGUAUUCCAACAUUGUUAUAUCCUUUCUCUUCCACUUUGCACCUUCUUUUAAUGUGUAAUGUGUAUUUUGUCUCUACCCAUCUUCUCCGUAGGGGAAUAAUAAUAUAUACUGCAUAGCCAUGAAUUUUGAAUGGUUCUCGGAUAUAGGUCUCAUGUCUUUGUACUGAACAAUGAUAUCUCGCCCUUUUCUAUUCUGUGUUGUAUCAUUCACAAUCAAGGCUGCAACUUCAGUUGCAGAUGGCAUGUCAUGUUGUCUUAAUCUCAUGUUGUGGUAGCCACCUUUUCAAGUUUAUCCCUUGCCAUUCUGAGUGUUUUAGCUAGUACUCCUGAUUUUGCCGCAGUCUUGGUUAAGCCAUACUACAUGGAAAUUUGUUCGCAUGUUGUUUUGACAAAGAAAUAAUUGGUAGCUACGGUCAGGACCAAAUGUAGCAUGUUUUUUUUAUUUUAAUACACCACUUUAAAUUAGUUGCAGAUCAUAUGGAACUGCAUAGGCGGACGGGCUUGAUAACCAUUUGCGGAUGGUAAACUGUGUAUGAUCAGAUAUUUGUACAUCAAAUACACUGGGUUAUUGAAGAAACUUUUGUAAGCCUGGAAACAAUGGAAGACAUAGAUAACACAAUUGUUGCUCAAAGCAGAAGCAAUCUAUAAUAUUGUUUCCAGUACACCUUACUACAUUCGUGCACCAUGUAAGAGAAGUUUAGCAGUUGAAUUCAAAGUAGUAAGUAAAGAUAAGUGGAUGAUAAUACACAUAAAGAAAUAAGUCUGUACAAUUUUCUUCACGCACGUGGUUCAGAGGUUCUUCUUUUGGCAUAUUUGUGCAGUCUGGCACAUCUCCAUCUAUGAUCGAAUGUUUUCUCAUUUUCUUGUCAGUAAGAAAUAAUUUGAAAUAUUUUCCUGGUCCAAGCUUAAACCACUAACCCAAGUGUGCCUACUUGAAUCAAAAUCCAAGCUAUUUUCUUAUAAUACCACCUAUUAAAGAUUCAUGGUUAGUAAUGGAUCAGCUUGUGGUAUUACAUAUUUGAUACUUUUAACCACCUUGGCAGAUUUCUAACAUUUUUGCUAUGUGGCCCACCUUUUAUUUCCUUUGGUUCUUCCUGCACAAUGGAUAAGAUGAGAUAUUGUAAAAUCGUUGUGUAGUACUGCUCAAGGUUAUGAAGAUUUAUGAUUUGGAUAUUUUUUCUACUUAUAAAAUUUCGUCUUUGUUGUAGAAAGGAGAUCAACUUCCAAGACCAGUGGAUGUUAAGUUCCAAUCUUCAGUUGAAAACACAAAUAUUUUCUAUAUGAUCUCUGUAGAUGGUACUUGCCGGAGGUGGUUUGCUUGCUCGAUGGAGCCGAUCAAUCAAGGAGAUUUGGACACUCGCUCGUGAGAGUUACUUUUUUUUAGGGAAAGCCAUUAUGACGGUGUAUAUUGAUUUGCAAUAAUAGCUACAUCAGCCGUAAGGACGGCAAGUUAAAAAGCUGGAGGUUGCUUGUCAUGGAUAUGAGUCCAACCUAUUGUGAGUUUUGUUUUUGGGACCGUGAGAUUGAUUGUAAGAUUGGUGUGAAGAACAUGACAUGGAUGGUAAAAUUGAUCGUGAGAUUAGUGUUUU
This is an RNA transcript of Triticum aestivum (bread wheat), 2274 nucleotides long. RefSeq lists it as uncharacterized. The record is from RefSeq and is a predicted model, not a curated record. NCBI's taxonomy places the organism in Eukaryota, Viridiplantae, Streptophyta, Magnoliopsida, Poales, Poaceae. The transcript has 3 exons.